Molecule: ribosomal RNA, 173 nt
Filed under: Aetokthonos hydrillicola Thurmond2011
Lineage: Bacteria; Bacillati; Cyanobacteriota; Cyanophyceae; Nostocales; Hapalosiphonaceae
Description: partial 23S ribosomal RNA
Rfam family: Bacterial large subunit ribosomal RNA
Source: RNAcentral
AGUGCGGAGCGGAUAACCGCUGAAAGCAUCUAAGUGGGAAGCCCACCUCAAGAUGAGUACUCUCAUGGAUUAAUCCAGUAAGGUCACAGGUAGAUUACCUGUUUAUAGGCAGUAGGUGGAAGUGCAGUGAUGUCCGCAGCCGAGCUGUCCUAAUAGACCGAGGGCUUGACCUC